Molecule: non-coding RNA, 45 nt
Organism: Fukomys damarensis (Damara mole-rat)
Lineage: Eukaryota; Metazoa; Chordata; Mammalia; Rodentia; Bathyergidae
Source: Rfam
ACAAAGGCUCUUUUCAGAGCCACUCAUACAGUCAUUAAGAGGGCA